This 556-nucleotide ribosomal RNA is filed under the name uncultured bacterium. RNAcentral's name for it is "bacterial SSU rRNA". It matches the Rfam family "Bacterial small subunit ribosomal RNA", at positions 777 to 1329 of the family's 1533-position model. The record is from RNAcentral.
AAUAGAUACCCGGGUAGUCCACGCCGUAAACGAUGAGUGCUAAGUGUUAGGGGGUUUCCGCCCCUUAGUGCUGCAGCUAACGCAUUAAGCACUCCGCCUGGGGAGUACGGUCGCAAGACUGAAACUCAAAGGAAUUGACGGGGGCCCGCACAAGCGGUGGAGCAUGUGGUUUAAUUCGAAGCAACGCGAAGAACCUUACCAGGUCUUGACAUCCCAUUGACCACUAUGGAGACAUAGUUUUCCCUUCGGGGACAACGGUGACAGGUGGUGCAAGGUUGUCGUCAGCUCGUGUCGUGAGAUGUUGGGUUAAGUCCCGCAACGAGCGCAACCCUUGUUCUUAGUUGCCAUCAUUUAGUUGGGCACUCUAAGGAGACUGCCGGUGACAAACCGGAGGAAGGUGGGAUGACGUCAAAUCAUCAUGCCCCUUAUGACCUGGGCUACACACGUGCUACAAUGGACGGUACAAACGGUUGCCAACCCGGCAGGGGGGAGCUAAUCCGGAUAAAACCCGUUCUCAGUUCGGAUUGUAGGCUGCAACUCGCCUACAUGAAGCCGG